Long non-coding RNA from Clarias gariepinus (North African catfish), 265 nucleotides. RefSeq lists it as uncharacterized. NCBI's taxonomy places the organism in Eukaryota, Metazoa, Chordata, Actinopteri, Siluriformes, Clariidae. The record is from RefSeq and is a predicted model, not a curated record. The transcript is spliced from 3 exons.
AAGCGAGGGGCACGCGACCUAAAGCUGGCAGUAUUUUACAUAGUUGGUUUAUUCUUUAGCGAACUUUCUGGAUUCUUUACUUCUGACUGGAUCAACCUUAGAGCACUCAGUAUUUUAUGGUGGGGACCAACGUGAUGGGAAUGAUAUCUGCAAAAUAUGGAGAUGUCUGGAGCAUUGUUCCAAGUUUUUUGCCUUAUAGGGAUGAGACAAGAGGAACCUUCUCAUUGUUGGGGCAGUUCUAUUGAUACAGACUCUUUGGUGGAGG